AAAAAGGAAAAAAAAAGUAUAUGGUGUAACUUGUUCGGAUUAUUCAAAAUAGACAAGUUUUGCUGGGUUUGCCUGAGUUUUUUCUGUUUGGUAAAAUAAUUCUAAUUUACACUCCCUCUGUAAAAUUCUAAGAGGCUGAGUAAAAGCGAAGCAUUCACACCAGCUGCCUUCAAAAGGAAACGAAGUGGCCAAAAUUCAUACAAAAAGCUGAAUUUGCAGCAGCCUUGGUCAUAGAAGUUAUAUAAAUUCUCCAUAUAGUAUUGUUCUCGUAUUCUUGUCUUGGGAAUUAGUCCAAGUGAAAUGUUGCUAGUCCAAAAACAAGGUAUAGAGGUGGUAGUGUUGUUUAUUUUUAAGUAACUUUAUUUUUGUUGUUGUUGUUAGGAGGGUUUGUUAGAGAAACGAGCAGAGAGCUGGGUGCACUUCAAUGUAGUGUGCAAAACUUAUUUUCAAGUGUGUUAACAAACUUGCUGCUUGACGAGCUAAGAAGCAGGAAACGAGACAAAACGAGCUUCAGAGGCCACUACCUGGAGCAAAACAGGCAGAAAUUGAAUUUAAUUUCUCCACUUGUCAGUAAAUAAAUUUUUCUAUAGCAAAACAGCAAAUAUUUAAAGAUGAUAAUAAAUAGGGACUGGCUACACUCAUACUGCAAGUCCUGCUUUGCAACAGAAGUACUAAUUUGGCUGAAACUGAGAAAUCCAUGCAGAGUAAUCAUAACCUACCUACUUGCAUGCGAAUAAUCUGAACUAACCAUUUCUAAAAACAAUUGAAAUUAAAAUAGGGACUGUUCUUGGAUUGAGUAAAUUUGUUUAAAUACUAAAUGGAGCAGUAAAAACUGUAAAACUUUAUCUUGAGCGAAAUAUAUUACAGUGCAACAAAUUUUAUGAACAUGUCGUGACUUUAGCAAUUCCAGCUUUCAGCUGGAAUCCACUUUUUCUCCUUAAUCAAAUCUGUCUGUCUUCAAGAAGGCUUUUUUAUUAUUAUUAUUAAUAUUAUUUUGCAGGAUUGUAUCAUAAAAUAAGGGAAAUUUAAGGGGAAAAAAUGUAGCUGAUUCUGGUGACUGCUAAUUUGUACUAACCAAAUCCAGCGAAGUGUAAAUUGCAGCUUUCCUCAGUGUUGUAACUAAUGUCCACUACACCCGAGGAGCUGCUGCUUUUGCUACCAGGACACCUCCUGGCACAGACCUAUUUGAGGCAGACACGUUCUGAAGGUGUUGUUCGCAUAAUGAAAACUGUACUAUAUGAUUAUUAGGGGCAGCAAAGACCACCUACAGGCAGUUAUCAGUUGAGGAAGAAAAAUCCUGAAUACAGAAAGCUCAAGGAUCCAGAGGAAAAUGAGGGAAACAGGAGUUUAUAUGAACAUUGCAAUUUGUGAUGAGUGAAUUGGUGAUUUUUUUUUUUCCUUUUUUUUUUCUUCUUUGUGAUUAACAGUUGUGGUAAAAGGUUGUUUUUUUUUAUUAAUGCAGUUAGAGUGUUUGGGUGACGUGUCUAAUAUGAUGGCAAAGAAAUAAAUAUUUUACAGACAGUCUAGGAACUCUGCACCGAGUGUAAUAACGCAUAUGGAUUCGGGUGGUGGUUUCUUUCUUUUUCUUUUCAUCCUGGUUCUUUUAAGAACAUAAAGAUUUCACAGGACACCUCUUUGAAUUUGUUCAUUCUUUCUUCUUUUUUUUUCUGUAUUUUUUACUCUAUUUUUUCCCCCUCCUUGUACAAAAGCAAUUACAUUCUUGUUAAUGAAAAUCAGGAUUAUAUUGCAAGGCAAAAGUAUCUAAGGCUCCCUUGUGACAUAUUUAAAAGGUGAAAGUUUGAUGGAGUGUUCCUUGGGCUGACACGAGUUCUGAGUAUUUCUUAUAGAUUCUUAUUCGGUUAAAAAAAGAGAUAUAAUAUCUGGUUCACAACUGUAAAUCAAAGGAUUUUUAAGUUUAGGGCCUGAGCCUGCAGGGUUCUAAAUACACAAGUAGUCCUAAUAGCUCAUUUCCACAAAUAAGGAUUUGCAGAAUCAUCUCAGUAGAUCCAAACUUUUAUUAGUAUUAUUAUUAUUUUAAUAAAUAAAAGCUAUCAAAGUAAUUUGAACUUCGAGACAAGUUAAAUAAUUUUUUAGGAGCCCAAAGAGGAGACUUUUCCAGCAGUGCAGUUACAGAGUGUGACUCGUGUACAGGCUGAAGCUGUCUCUCAGGAGUGCUGCAGUUGUCAGUUACCAUUAGAAUCCAUUUUUCAAGUGUUGAUUGGCUCUAGAACAGUUUUUUUGCUGAAAUUUGGCUUACAUUAAUUUUGUUGUAGAGCUGGUCAGUAUGUUUGCUGUAGAAGUGCUCAGCGUGGCUGUUUUGUGCCCCAAAGAGCAGUGAAGCUUUGCAGAGAGCUCUGGGGUGUGUUUUACUUUCUAACUCCCUGUUUCUGCUGUCACAGUUCUUGUUUAGGCAAACUACCACUGAUUUUGUUGGAAAUUAACCCUGCAAUAAGGGCUGUAGUGCUGGCCCCUUAAAAACUGUUGGUGUGGCUAUUGCAAAUAGUGUGCUCGACUUCGUGGGCUGUUUUGCAAUAUCUAGUUGUAAUGAGCUGAAGAGAUAAAAAUGUGCAGGCUUCUUUGCUGAAGUGCUUCCCGUGUGCAACUUUCCAUGGCCACUUUUACCACUCGCAGAAUAGGUGCAUGCUUGAGCCUCUACAGACCUUGUUGCCUAAAUCACAAUCUGAUAGCUGACAUUGCAUGCUUGCUGCUCUGCUCGGCUGAAGGAGCUGCUGCAGACAUCUUUGUCAGCUCAUCAGUGCUUUCUUUAAGGACUUUCUGCUGCUUUUUUUUUUCAAUAGCAACUUAAAGAAUUUUCCUAAAAGAGAGAUGUGGCUGUGAAGGCACCCUGUGCUUGGUUAUUACAGCACAUUAGCCCUCCUUUGAAACCCCUUUGAUAGCUCAGACAUGGCUAGUUUAAUUUUAGGUAUCUGAAAGAAGGGAAUUUUAUGGAUUUUGUUCAUUUUAACUAGGUCUAACCCUAAUAUUAUUUUAAAAUGGAGUUUUGUGUUCUGUUAAAUUUAAAUAAACCUUAGCUUUUGUUAUUAGUUUAGACAUGUAGCCAAACAUCUCUAUGGCAAGGAUUUGAGGCUGGUGUACUUAAACUUCAAUUUUUAAUUCUCUCUUGGUGAAGUGAUCCUGCAAAACACUUGUAAAAGAGGAACAAACAAGCCACAAAGUCUUCGGGAAAAAUAGUUAAAAAAUGCUAAUUGACAUAUUUAAAUGCUUACGCUUCCCCCUCAAAGCCAAAUGCAUGAAAAUAGGCUCUUGCUUGCAUUUAUUUAUUUAUUUCAACAACAACAAGAAGCAGUGCAGAAAUGUGUGCAGACCCAGGCGUUUAAGCUGUGGGUAAGGGAAGAGAAAAAUAGAAUUAAGAGUUAUCAUAAAUGUUCAGCUACUGUAUUGAUAGCUUGUUUAACCCACCUUGUUUGGGGCUGCUGCUCACACACCAGCAGGAAGAAGAGCCUGUAUGAAGAUGUGAGUGCGAAUUCAGUAGUGCUCUUAAAUAAGCCCCUGUUUCUGGCUUUGUCAAGCUUGAAUUUAAUUUAAAUACAUGGAUAUCCACAGUAGCUUUUUGGUUCUGUGUCUGUUGGAGGGUUUUGGGGUUUGGGUUUUUUUUCUUAUUUUUUUUUAAUUUUUUUUUCCUAGAACAUGGUAUGUUCUGUUACAUUCCCAAUUUUUACAGCAAUAUUUGGAGGAAAAUUACUGCUUUUCAGUAAAAUAUGACAAUCAAUUUAAUUCAAUUAACUGAGAUAAUUAAUUUAAAACAAGAGAUCGGCAGCAUCUGUAUUUUUAAUUUGUGCAGUGCUCUAAAAUCCUGGUAGUGUGCAAAUACCUCCAAAGUAAUUACACCUUUCCCUUAUUGAAGUCAGUGUGAAGAGUUUGCUUCUUAUUUCUUGUGAGUAUUCUCUGGUUGGUUGGGUUUUUAUUUUUCCUGAUUUUUUUUUAUGACUUCAAACCAAAAAUGUUCAUCAUUUUAUCCAUGCAUUUGUUAAUUGUUAUGAAGAGGAUUUUUUAAAUUAUUAUUUUUAAUUAUUUUUUUUACCUCCCCUGAGGAAUAUGGGUUUAAGUAGCAAUAUGAAAGUUAACAUAAAUAUUUGGUAAAUACUGUAAUUUUCAACAUGAUCCAGAGUCUUCCCAACUUGAAAUGAUAAUUUCUUACAUCAAUAUAUUUGCCAUAUAUUAUAAUUCACUUGGACUUAGUGAAAAUUGUGGGGAAGCCAGGAAUCCCAGUGCACCUGAGAAACAAAAAGCAGUUGAGUUAGAAUUUCUGUGCUGUUAGAGCAAUGCUUUUCCUGGUUGAACAGGCAGAUACUCUGGUCUGAAGGGAGUUAACACUCAAGUUAUCCUGCAAACAAUUUGCUUCCCCCCUGUUACAAACUAUUACACGUCUUACUACAGAUCAGGAAUUAGAAAAGGAGGAUGCUCCAUCUGUUGUGAAACGUUGUAACAGCUCUUAUGAGAAAGCCUGACUAUAAAUAUAUGCAAAAGUCUAUUGCAGAGCAGAGUUCUCUGACACGAGUCUGACAGUACCAGCAGUAUCUUGCACAGGCAGACAAACCCCUUAGCAAAAGGGGGAAUGGCCUUCUGCUAAUGUACUCCUUUCUGAUGCUCCCCUUAAGAUUUCUCCAGGCUCAAAGGAGAAGGCAGAAUGAUGCUGUCAGCGACAGGCACAGCAGUUACACAAGCAGCAGGGAAAUGUGUAUUUUUCUUCGUCUGUUUUAUAACCUGACUGAGUCUGUUUCAGUUCUCAGGCAGUGUGGCUGUUAGUUCAGGGGCUGUGGUGCUGUCUGACAGGCAUUUCUUUGUUUUAUUCUUUAUUUAAAAAAGAAAAAAAAAUGGUUCAUAUGUUGAUUUUCAGUGCUGUGUGUGUGGUGGCUAUAAUCUAUCUGAUAUGGAAGGGUUACCAGGUCCUAAAUUCAUUACCUCUCUGGUCAGUUUGAGAGUAGAGGAAAAUGUGGUUUGAAAUAAGAUCAGAAGAAAACGCUUGGGCUUUUCUUUCUGGAAUUAGCAGGUUUGAAAUGAGGACUGUUGUUUGCACAGUGCCUGUUUGCAUCCAGGUUUGGAGUGCAACUACAAGAUCCUCGAAUCAGCAGGGAGAGAAUAAUUCCUUCUAGAGUGUUAGUGCUCGUAGGCUGGGCUCUGUUUUUACACCACCAGCUCCUCAGUUUUCAUUAAAGUUUUGAUUCCAGCUCUGUCACUGUAAUUACAGUGGAUCUGGCUGUCAGUGCCUCGUGUUUGUUUCAGGAAAUGAUAUUUUUGUGAAACUGCAUAAGAAACUGAUGGAAGUGUAAAAUACAAAAACGUUCCUAAGUUCCCUCUUAAACUUGCUGUCCUUGAUUUUUAUCUCCCUAUUUAGAAGUGCAGAUUUCCUCUUGCAUUUUUGGUCUGUAAUCCUCAGUUUGCCAAUCUCUCAGUCUUCUGACACGAAAAUGAUCCUUCAAAAACUCUGCUCGGUUGUUGGUUUUGUUGUGUUGUUGUUUUUUUUUCCUCAAAGUUUUAUUUUUAGCUUAAUAAAACUUAAGUUGUUGACCCACUUUUCCAUUAUGUAAAAACCUGAGCAGAAUUUGUCAUUGAGGCAGGAAUUUGUGAAGGCUAACACUAGAGGGCAAUUCGAAGCAAGAGUCUGCCUGCCCUGCAGCUCUUACGGUCCCUCUUGAAAAAUGGGGAGCCUAUGGGGGCUGUCCCUUUGCCCCCCAGGCGGCAGCCAGCCCAUGUAAUCACACUCCUCAAUCUUCUAUUUAACUCUCUGUUUGUAUCCAGUACACAACCUGAGGGUAUUUCUGAGUGCUCUGCUGAAUGAGAAGGAACUUAAGCCAGGUCCUGUGUUUUGCUGCAUUAUCUGUUAACAAACCUCUUCUUCCCAUCUCCUUUCCUUCCCUCUUGCUGCUAUCGGAAAGGCAUAAUGCAUUCAGUGGCCUUCUUUUGUUUUAUCUGGUGGGUAUUAAUAUGCUCAUAACCUGCUGCACUGAACCCUCUGGAAGUGAUGCGAAAGAUGCUGAGUUUGGGUAGGUGAGGUAACACUGUGCUGAAAACCAAAUGCCUUUUAUUUUUAAGCAUCAAAGAAAAUAAAAUGGUGAGUGAGGGAAAAAGUCUGAAUAGGUUGAAAUGCAUUGAGGGCUGGUUUUGUGGAACCAAUUGUAACAAAUUUACAGUAAUACUAAUAGCCAGGGUAAUGCUGCUAAAUUAUCUAGAUUAACAAGGAAAAUAUACUAAUUUAAAUUGUAAUGAAAUACAUUUAUAAGGGAUCAGAGGGAUAGAUGAUGCCUGUAAUUUUACCAAACCAGUGUAUGUAAUGUAAAAACGGAGUUGAAGUGAGAUGAUCACUCCCCCACAGUUAAAUACAGCACUUGAUUGCUCAUCUGUGUGUAUUGUGCAGGAUUUAAACAAUUUACAUAACAGUGCAUUACAUAAUAAACGAUAGUUUUCACAGGUUCAUUGUGAUGGACUGGACAUCCCCGUUGCUUGUCAACAGCAACCUGUAGUGCAAAGGGGUGAUGUCAUGGUUCUUGAAAUGCACUCAAGGAUUCUUAUUUUAGCAAUGCAGAUUCUCUCAUUGUAUCGAAAGGUAACAUACAGCAGUGUAAAUGUCUGGAAGUGCCACGGUGCAGGUUUCAAUGUGGGGUAUUUUACACAUGGGUGUUGAUAUCUAUCUAUAGAGUUGCACAUUAUUAUAUAUACUUCUGUAUAAAAGGGCUGAUCUGAGUUUCAAGUGGUGUGGUCGUUCCUGUGUUAUAAAGCAGCUUUUCAAGUAGUAUUACUUUCACACCCCUUGCACAAUGUAUUUUAGAGGUCUAAAACUUAUUCUUUCAUUACCUGCUUUUUAGGUUUUAAUAAGGAUUAUGCAUAGAAAUAUUUCCAUGCAUUGUUGCAGUGAAUAUUUACACUUAUCUCUGCAGGUCUGGUCUGCAGCUUCAGUGCAGUUUGGAAAUGUAAUCUGCUGGCAACGAUGUGCCCAAAGUUAAUCAGAAUUUAUGGAAGGAAGGUUGUUUCAUCCUAUAGUGUGUAGUUCUGACCUGGAUGAAACCGACAGAAGGAAACAAUAAUAAUAUGGAGGGGAAAGGAAAAAAGAAAAGAGGAUAAAGGAAUGCUUCAGUGAUGAGUCCCUGGAUCCUAGAGGAGGCUUUUGUUUUAUUUGGGGGGGAUGUGGAGAAUGGGCAAGGAAUUAUCACUGACCAUGGUUAUUAGCUAGAACAAAUCCUAACUGCGCAUUAAGCUCAUUCUUGAGAGCAUGAAUGUUUAAUACAAAAUCAAACUGAAUAUUCAGGUGCUUAAACCAAGCACGCAUAUAAGCUGUUAAGAAAUUGAAUUCUUAGUGCUCUGCAGGUAAAACACUCUCAAUUUUUGCCAACAUGCAUAUUUUAUCUUUUUUCUUGUUUUUUUUUUCUCCUUUUACUAGCUUGAUUUUUGGCCUUAAAUCAGCUAAAGGAGUUCAGUUGUUAACGUUUCAGGCUGUCUUUGGAAUUUUAUUAUUUGAAGAAAGCAAGAACAAACGAUUGAGUAUGAGCAGCGUGCAGAGCAGUGCUGCGAUAUUGUUCUGUUCUGCCUUUAAGCAGGUGGUUUCUUGUGGCAGGCUGGAAGAGAGAUUCUUUUUCUUCCCAGCUUUUGACAAAAAGAUGACGCAUAUGUCUCAGAAUUAGAAGGGGAAAUCUGCCAGUUUGCAUCAGUUCCUCAACUUGUGGGUUGCUUUUCACCACAAGGAAAAUUGGUAUAUUCGCACCAAUGCUUCUUGAGAGAUGAGGAGUAAUCGUUUCCUUCAGAAAGUGUAGGAUGAUUGGGGUAGGCCCUUCGUAUGUUACACCAGGCUUUUCCUAUAAGAGAUCUUUCAAGUGUAUUAAAUAUUUAGGAAGAAAACAAAGCAUGUUCUUAAAUGCUGCUCUUAAUGCUUGAAAUAGGGAUCAUGCAUCUUAUAACAUAAUGCAGAGGAAAAGCAGAGGAAUCUGCUUCCUUUCGAAAAUAUUAAGCUUCUCUUCAGCUGGAAUUGUAACUCAAAAGAGCCCUGUAGAUCUCCAUAGCCGAAAGCGCAUUUCGAUUGCUGUCCAUCACUUCCACUGUAGCCUCAGUAUUGCCAUUCCAAAUGACUGUUUGUUGACAUGACUGCAGUGAAGGACCGGUGCACCUCCUACAACAGAACAUGCAAAUCAGUAGCUCUCCGGAUAGUCUAAAUAUGUUUGUUUAUGAUCCUUGGAGGAAUGGCUGGACACAUGUUAUAGAUUCUCCAAUUUUAGCAACACAAGGUUGGAAAGGGUGACAGUGAACAGCGAAGCAAUAGCUGUGCUUGCAUAGUGUAUCUGCGUUACUUUGCAGUGAUGAACAAGUAACCCAAACAAAGGAAUAUGGUUGUGUGUGAAUGGUGUCUGAUAUCAACAUGGAAGAGCUCUUGCUUGGGAAGGCCAUGGUGGAGAGACUUAAUGAAGUUAUCUGUACACAGGAUCCCCUGCUUUUAUUGAGGCCUCCUCAGUAAUUUGUCCCCCAACAACAACUGAAGACAUAAGGAUAGAGGAGCAAACACUGGAAAGAAUGAGAGGAAGACUUAGACUUUCCCACCUGUGGCCUGCAAAACGUCUUUGUGCUUACAAAGAUAGUCUUGUUAAUUUAAGAGGGUGAUUUCAUCCUACACUGGCUAGAAGACUCCUUGCAGUGGAAAGAAGUACAUGGGUUGAAUCUGUGGGAAUCUUUCAUUGAGACAAUUGAAAUUGCUGCAGUGAGAAUGGAAAUGACUUGGGAUCCUUUCCUUUAAAAGCUGUAUGCAAGAACUGUGUGGUGAUUCAAACUUGGACUAAUGGUUAUGUAAAUGUCACUAAUUUUAGAUACAGUCAAGAUCUGAAAGUGUUUCCUUUCAGAAUUUUAUUUUCUUCACUGUCGUGACUCAGUAUCAGUUGCUAAUCUUGUUUUAUUAGCCCUGUUAUAUAUUGCCAUUAAAACACUGAUUUGAAGACUGCGUGUAUCUUACAACUUGAAGUUUAUACAACGUAUAGGUGUUUUAAAUAGAGAAAAAGAAGGCUAUCUGCACUAGGGAUUUUUUUUGACUCCAGUGAUCUGCUACUGGUGCAGUUACACAGGUGCAAACAUGAUAUAGAUGAAAAUGGCCAUCCAUGCUGUCUCUCUCUUGGAUCCAAUAUUUAAUAUCUCUGGGCUGUAUCUCUGAGGUUUCAGAGAGUGUGGUUGUAAGUCUAAAAAGCCAGUCAGAGAGAUCUGAGAGCAUACAAUGACCAGAUCUGUUUGCAUGGUAUUGCUAUGUGAAUGGUGAAAUAGACUUUUUUCUGCUUCUCCAUGCAAACCCCUGUACUGACACAAGGCAGAAAGUCGGAAGCAGCAGUAAAUACGAGCUUGCACUGCUUUGUUUAGCCGUAAAGGUUAAUGGUGAUGAAAAUACGGUUUGAGUAUUUGCAAAACCAAGACUCAAACAAGGAAUGAAAGUUCUAGUCUGGAUUGAGUGUCAAGAGUAUAAUUUCAAGUGCUUGUGAAGACCUUUCCAUGUUAUUUAGUUCCUAAAUCUUUGAAAAAGAUGUCACCUUUUUUGCAUGGUUCAUUGUUGCCUUAAAUAGUAGCUGUUAUGUUUUCCAGGGAUAAACCUGCAAGGAUGCACUGUCUCCAGUGGAGGAAUGGAACUCCUACAUUUGCAGCUCUGACAUCCUAUGGAUUGUGCCUGACUGAAGGAAGUGAAAGUGUAUUAAAUUCAAUCCAAAUGCUUAUUUUUCUGCUAGUCUUAGUAAUGGUGAAGGGAAGAAGAUGCUUAAUUCAUAAAUAAGGAGAAUAAAAGAAAAACCUGCUUGAAAGCAUCUAGAGAUGAGUUGCCACUCAAGAGUGAGGACAGCUGGUGAGAGGAGCAUGUCAAAAAGAGGUAUGAAACUGCGAAGUUGGAAGGGCUGGUACAGGUUAGGCAAAGAUUUAGGGAUUUGUUUGUUUCUUGAAGAUGGAAGAAGCAGCAGCUUCACAGAAUUAACCCUGCUUGAUUCUGUAGAGAGAAAAUCAGGCUUUAGGAAAGCAGAUCAAUGUUAACGUUUAUUAGAAUGCUUAGCACUUGAGUCAGACUGUUACACAGGAGUUUUUGCGAUGAAAUCGCUGUCGCUUUCAAUUCUCUCUCAUCCAAUUCCACACAGAAAAGGGCAACUUUAUUACUACAGUCUGCUGCUUCAUGAAAUUUUGUCCUGAAAAGGCAUCCCAAAAAUCAGAAAGUAUUUGAGGGGCCUCUGGAGAUCACCCAGCCUAAGCAGGAUCAGGCAGAACAGGUCUCUCAGGGCUGUACCUGAUCUUAAUUUGCCCCCUUGUGUUGGUCUACUGUGAAGCAACCUUCAUGAUCACACGGAAUAUACAAUGAUAGGACCAGCAUGGUAUGCUGCUGAGUCAGGAAAGAUGUUUGUAGGCUGUGCAAGGAAGAAGCCCAACACUGCUGCAGAAAAAGGUUGAAAAUGUAGGGAAAGCCUACAAACCAAAGCCUACAAGCAGGAGAAACCGUCUUCAUGUUUACAUGAAAUGAGAAAUCCUAGGAACUGGAUGUUAGAUCUUUCUGUCUUUAUUUUUGUAUGGUGCUGAACAAAUCACUAGGUCGUUGAUUUUUGUAGCAUUCAUGUUCCUUGCUUCACAGGUGACUUUAAGCCAUCGUUUCCAACAGAAACACUGAUGUCCACGUUUGCAGCUGAUGUGCAUAAGAACAUGAAUUCAAACUUUAUGUAAUGUUAUGUCUGGCUGUAGUUUCCUACAUAUUUUAAGUGGGAUACCUCUAACUGUUGGGUACUGCUGUAGUUUCUGUAUCUUCGUGUUAUAUUUAAAGUAGGAACGAUAGUCACUUGAAGGGAUAUUUUUCUAUUUUGGCUUGUUUCAAGCUUUGUUUAGUAGAUGUGCUACAUGGAUGUGCUUCCUCAUGGGAUUUUCUGUGGUGCUUAUGACUUCAGAUGACAGAGAAAGAGAUGAGUGCUGUGUGUUACCGUGUUAGCAGUUCAAGUAGAAUCACUUGGUCAGCACCCUAAACAGUUUAUUUCCUUUGGAAGUUAUUUAACAGUUCUCAGGUACAGCUCUGUUGUUCAGAAUCUGACUCACUUUUAAUAGUCCUGUGUUAAUAAAUCAAAUUUAACUUAUGCCCAGUAUCUCUUAUCUUACUGUAAAACUUGAUCCCUGUAUUCAAAAUUUCUGAAAUAAACUUUAAUUAUAGUAACAUUUAUCUAUGUUAA
Non-coding RNA from Coturnix japonica (Japanese quail), 11168 nucleotides. The record is from RefSeq and is a predicted model, not a curated record. NCBI's taxonomy places the organism in Eukaryota, Metazoa, Chordata, Aves, Galliformes, Phasianidae.